UAUUUGCAAAUGUCGUAUUAUUUCGAAUAAGUGGCAUAACACAGUUGGUAAGGAAUUGGGGUUAAAUGGUACAAGAGUGAGAGGUCCCGGGCUCGAUCCCCAUUUCUAACUUUUCUCCGUUUUAUUCGUUUUUUAUUUUAGUUCUAAUUUCAUUUUUAUUUAUUUAAAAAUCACAAAAAUUGCAUUUUUAUUAUUUUAAUAUUCAAUUUUCGUUUUUACUAUUUAAGCAUUAAUUUUUUAAGUUUUUCAUUUUUAUUCAUAAAAAUACACACAAAAAAAAAUUAAAAUAUAAAAAGAUUGAAAAAGAUUUUACACUUUUUUUUAAUUGAUUAAAUAUAGUCAUAAGUCUCUAAUCAGAUAAUUUUGGGCCUUUGAAUUAUUUCAAUUAGUUUUGGUUCAUGCAUUUUUAACCUAAUUUUUUUUUGUAUAUAUAACAACAACGAAGACCUUAUUUGGGAGAGUUUUUUUGUCUCAACCCUUAUGCCAGCCCCUCACACGUAUAGCACACGACGAUUAAUUUGUUCUUCGCACAGUAAAUCUCAUUGUUAACAAUAACAACCUGUACAAAAUCAUCAUCCAAUAACCUCCAUGUCAAUACCAUGACAUCACAAAACUCAUAAACUUACAAUAACCUGUAACAAAAUAAUAUACAGUAAUAAAACACAGGUUGGAGAAAGAAGACUCAAAACAAAUCCCACCCGAUCCAGAUUUGAACCGCCAUAGUCAUGCCGUUAUACUACAAACGAGCGCACAGCACAAAAUCGGAAACGCCUCCGACUGCUAGAUCCGGUCACAUCCACCGCCGUUGAUUCAUCGCUGGUACUAUCAUCGUGAGCAUUGGACAAUUUUGCAGACAUUCACAUCUUAUGCAUGCGUGGAUUAAUCUAACAUUUCAGGGUCUGCAGUCCCAGAUCAAUCAAACGCCAGAUCCUGCGUUCAAGAAAGGAAGCUCCAUCCUGUGCGCCCUCAGCCAGCAACACGUGAUCGCAGCUAAGUUUUUCAGCUUUUUUAUUUUAUUUUUUUAUCACAUAACUUCCUUUUAAUUAAGUUAAUUUUUCUUUAAUUACUAAAUACUUUUCAAUUCUUUUUUAUGUAUUUACUAAAGUCAAUAUUUUUAUGAGGAUAUUUAUUUUAUUUAUUUACCGAAAACUCGAUUUUUUCAUGAUUUUAUCAAUAAUUAUUUUUUUUUAAACAUUAACAAAUUAUUAUUUGGUACAUACUUUUAAUUAAUUAGUUAAUAAAAAAUUAAUAAUUAGUUUUUAGUUUGUUAACCUCGAGUCAUUUAUAAACCUUAGAAUCUUGGUAGGUGUUGUCCACUAACGCAUUUUAUGCCUUACAAACCUCUUUUUAGGUCACAAUAAGUUUUCUUGGGUUUGAAAACCUUUCAGGGUUCAUAAACCUUUUUAGGAUUUGUAGAUCAUUCAUACACUAACCUUUUUCUGUUGUUGUUCAAAUUUUCAGGGUUAAUCAAGAUUCUUCCGACUACGCGCCAUGCCAAUCAAGAAGCUAAGUUUCUAAACCUUUGUUAUUUAUUUAUUUCGUUUUAAUAUUAUUUUAAUUUUUAUUUUGCCAGUUAGGAUCUAUUUUCAAAUGCCCAUGAAUCUCUCCUACACUCACUGCUUUCUUUUCCUUUGUCAAUUCUCCAAUGGUCAGGGUCAAUGCUUCUCAUGCUCAAGGCAAAACUCUGCCCAUCAACCUUCAUUAAUCGAAGCUAAAGGUUCGUCGAGUUGCCAAAGCUACGGAUAUUGGUAACCCUAAACCUUAACCUUGAUAUUUUUCUUCGUUUAUUAUUACUUAUGUCAAACCCUUUUAAGGGAUCCGCUGGUUUCUUAUUCCCUUCCCCCACUAUUAUGUAACUGUUUACUGGUUGUAUUGUUUGGCCUUGAAGGCACUUAAAUUAUAUUAUUAUAUUAUUAUUGUGUGGUUAGUAAUGUAGGGAGUGACAAGAUUAAUUAAUCAAACGUUAGAUCACUAACAAGAUAAAAUAUUCGAAUACAACCACGUGAUUGUUGCACCCACACACCUUUAGGGUAAUCCCUCUGGUUGCCUUUGUUGCCUGUUGCCUUGUUGCCUUUAAGUGUACUAAAUAGUCAAAGUCCCUCGAUUCCGAGGAUACCUAAAGCAAAACAAAAUGUUGCCCUAAGUUCAUUAUCAUCAAUUCUGCCCCUCGAAGCUGCCUCGGUAAAAACAUGAUGAUUGUCCCAAUUGCUAAGGUAUCCUCGCAUGAUGCCUAAAAAGAUUAAUGACUAUUAUAUCCUUCCCUUAGACUACCUGCCCUCUUUAUGGCAUGGGACAGUCUUAUGGCGAAUGAUUACUCGAUGACCCUUAAACAUCCAAUUGAAAGACUUCCUGCCCUUUAUGGCAUGGAUAGAUCCUUUCGCCUCGAAAAGCUAAAAGAACGAAUUUUCAAACUUAGGGUAGUUGCUACUAAUUGCUCGCUCUUUUCAAAUUCAAAUUAAAAAUACUUUUCCAACUCAAUUUCAAAUACUUUCAAAACAAGGCUAUGCUUAUUUACAAGCUAAAGUCCUUGGACAAAGUUUUUACUUUUUACACACUGCUCUUUUCAAACAAAUCAAACAAACAAAGUGAGCUAAGCAAUUAAGAGCCCAUGGAUAACCAUGGAUGCAAAGGGUGCCUUACACCUUCCCUUUGUAUAACUUACCCCCCGAACUCAAAAUCUUUUUAAAAGGUCUUUUCCUGUUCUUUUAGCCUUUCCUAAAAUUGGAUAAAAUAAAAGUCGGUGGCGACUCUUGCUUACCGCAACAUUUUCAUUAUUAAAAA
Vicia villosa (hairy vetch) is the source of this 2781-nucleotide long non-coding RNA. RefSeq lists it as uncharacterized. The transcript is spliced from 2 exons. Lineage: Eukaryota; Viridiplantae; Streptophyta; Magnoliopsida; Fabales; Fabaceae. The record is from RefSeq and is a predicted model, not a curated record.